RNAcentral lists this ribosomal RNA (253 nucleotides) under uncultured bacterium. RNAcentral describes it as "partial 16S ribosomal RNA". It matches the Rfam family "Bacterial small subunit ribosomal RNA", at positions 524 to 776 of the family's 1533-position model. The record is from RNAcentral.
UACGUAGGGUGCGAGCGUUGUCCGGAAUUAUUGGGCGUAAAGCGCUCGCAGGUGGUUCGUUGCGUCGUGCGUGAAAGACCCCGGCUCAACUGGGGGAUGUCGUGCGAUACGGGCGGACUGGAGGCCAGUAGGGGGAUGCGGAAUUCCGGGUGUAGUGGUGGAAUGCGUAGAGAUCCGGAGGAACACCAGCGGCGAAGGCGGCAUCCUGGACUGGUCCUGACACUCAGGAGCGAAAACGUGGGGAGCGAUCCGG